Molecule: microRNA precursor, 92 nt
Filed under: Opisthocomus hoazin
Lineage: Eukaryota; Metazoa; Chordata; Aves; Opisthocomiformes; Opisthocomidae
Description: mir-1451 microRNA precursor family
Rfam family: mir-1451 microRNA precursor family
Source: Rfam by way of RNAcentral
AGCGCAGGAGCUGCUGCCUCGCACAGGAGCAAGUUACUGCGUUCAUCUAACCUGCCGUAACUUGCUCCUGUGAGAGGCAGCGGCUCCUGGCU